RNAcentral lists this ribosomal RNA (464 nucleotides) under uncultured bacterium. RNAcentral describes it as "partial 16S ribosomal RNA". It matches the Rfam family "Bacterial small subunit ribosomal RNA", at positions 338 to 795 of the family's 1533-position model. The record is from RNAcentral.
CCUACGGAGGGCUGCAGUAGGGAAUUUUCGUCAAUGGGCGCAAGCCUGAACGAGCAAUGCCGCGUGAACGAGGAAGGUCUUCUGAUCGUAAAGUUCUGUUGAAGGGGAAAAAGAGCGGAGAGAGGAAAUGAACUCCGCUUGAUAUUACCCUUCGAGGAAGUCACGGCUAACUACGUGCCAGCAGCCGCGGUAAUACGUAGGUGGCGAGCGUUAUCCGGAAUGAUUGGGCGGAAAGGGUGCGUAGGCGGCCUGCGAAGUCUGGAGUGAAAGGUACCGGCUCAACCGGUAUAGGCUCUGGAAACUGGCGGGCUAGAGAGCAGGAGAGGGCGGUGGAACUCCAUGUGUGGCGGGAAAAUGCGUAGAUAUAUGGAAGAACACCAGUGGCGAAGGCGGGCGCCUGGCCUGUUACUGACGCUGAGGCACGAAAGCGUGGGGAGAAAAUAGGAUUAGAUACCCUUGUAGUC